AUACAUAUAAUCUCGACCAAUCCAAUCGUUGAGGCAACCCAAAGCAAAAGCUUCAGUGCAGCAUUUUCUGGUUUUUUCGUAUAAGUUCUGACCAUCUGAGUAGGUACUUUUCUUGAGCAAUCCAAUUUCAAUUCCUUACCAAGCUCAACACCGAUUGAUAUUAAUUCCUUGGGUAGUUUCAAAAACAGCGAUCCUAGGAAUUUUCGCGAAAAAUACCCAUUACGAAGCAACCUCUUGGGGUAACAAUUGUAAAAAGAAUCUUUACCUUUACCAGGGUCAAUUUUGUAUUCAAACCCUAUACAAUUGCAUAAGUCUAGGCAUAUCUGUUUGCAGUAUUCUAAUGUAUUAUUAUAAUGAAUAUGGAUAUUAUAGCCAUAGAAAUCAUACUGCUUAAAUUCAAGAAACAUGACCUCUUUCUGAUUGCAGGAGAGCUGAAAUUCAGGCUCACAUCCAUAAGACCAGUCCGUAUCAUUUUUCACCUUGAACCAGGGGAGGCAAGAGCAUGUUUUACCAGAUGCAGGAUG
This 524-nucleotide long non-coding RNA is filed under the name Panax ginseng (ginseng). Its description in RNAcentral is "long non-coding RNA (PGIN_LNC014603)". Lineage: Eukaryota; Viridiplantae; Streptophyta; Magnoliopsida; Apiales; Araliaceae. The record is from RNAcentral.